UACGUUUUGCUGGCCUGAAACAAUUCUGGGUCAAUGCAGUAGUUUUAGUUUAGGGCUAAAGGGCAGUUUUACAUUGUCCACGAUCCCUAGUUUUACAAUACUUUAACUGAGCAAUGUUUGUGUUUUCUCAUUUCUUUCAUGAGCAUAAGUAAAUCCAGCUGAGGAAAAAAGAAGGUCUUUCACAACUCUAAUGCAUUUGAAAUCCUCAGUGUGAUGCCUGCUGGAAGCCAUGUUUUUCAGACCAGUGUUCUCGCAGUAUGCCUGAGAGGUGUCAUGUACACAGCCCACCAUUGUAGCAGGUCAGACUUCUGUACCGAUUUGGACUGGCUACAGAGCUUCCUUCCCAGAAAGUUAUUUUUAAUAUGCUGCAGUUAUACAGCCUUUCCAGAAGCUAUGUGAAUGGAUUUUUGCUUUACUGUAUUUCAUGAUGGAUUCACUCAUGUCCUUCAAUACUUGCAAGCCUUCUACAG
Mauremys mutica (yellowpond turtle) is the source of this 470-nucleotide long non-coding RNA. RefSeq lists it as uncharacterized. The record is from RefSeq and is a predicted model, not a curated record. The transcript is spliced from 3 exons. NCBI's taxonomy places the organism in Eukaryota, Metazoa, Chordata, Testudines, Geoemydidae.